This is an RNA transcript of Sorex araneus (European shrew), 4236 nucleotides long. It is a transcript of the gene named ubiquitin conjugating enzyme E2 G1, with no coding region annotated. Lineage: Eukaryota; Metazoa; Chordata; Mammalia; Eulipotyphla; Soricidae. The record is from RefSeq and is a predicted model, not a curated record. The transcript is spliced from 7 exons.
AGUAGACGGCCCCAGCGCGCCUGCGCGGAGCGGCCCUGCGCGCAGUGAGGCAGUGGCGAGGGAAGGCACCGGUGGGGCAGGCGAGCGAAGUCCCAGUGCGCGCCGCGGCGGCCGGGGUACCCUCCCCUUCCGGGCGUGAGGCGCUGCGAGGAGAGCCGAGCCGAGCGGACUCGCACCGGCAGUGAGGCACCGCUUGCGUCUCCUCAGCCCGGCCUCUCCAGGGCUUCGGCGCUCCCGUCGCGGGGGCCCGUGUUCCUCAGCACACCCAGCGCCAGCAGCCCCCGGAGCCUGUCCUCAGCCCUUCGGAAGCCCCGGCGCCAGCCCGGGCCCUUGGCGUGGAGGAUGACGGAGCUGCAGUCGGCGCUGCUACUGCGAAGACAGCUGGCAGAACUCAACAAAAAUCCAGUGGAAGGCUUUUCGGCAGGUUUAAUAGAUGACAAUGAUCUUUACCGAUGGGAAGUCCUUAUCAUUGGACCUCCAGAUACACUUUAUGAAGGUGGUGUUUUUAAGGCUCAUCUCACUUUUCCAAAAGAUUAUCCCCUUCGACCUCCUAAAAUGAAAUUCAUUACAGAAAUCUGGCACCCAAAUGUUGAUAAAAAUGGUGAUGUGUGCAUUUCUAUUCUUCAUGAGCCUGGGGAAGAUAAGUAUGGUUAUGAAAAGCCGGAGGAACGCUGGCUUCCCAUCCACACUGUGGAAACCAUCAUGAUUAGUGUCAUUUCUAUGCUGGCAGACCCUAAUGGAGACUCACCUGCUAAUGUUGAUGCAGCGAAAGAAUGGAGGGAAGACAGAAAUGGGGAAUUCAAAAGGAAAGUUGCCCGCUGUGUAAGAAAAAGCCAAGAGACUGCUUUUGAGUGACAUUUAUUCAAUAGCUAUAACUUCACUUAUUUCAGGGUAUUUUAAAUCACUAACUUUUCAGCAUCUUUCUUAGCAGGUCUCCAAUUGAGAAAUGUGGCACUGUUUUUCCUGCACUCUACCCACCUAUUGCUGGACUUCUGUUGUAACAAGUUGGCAAACACUGGCUGGAACUGGGCUGCAAUAAAACAUGCCAGUAUCAAUGCUGACAAGAGCCUAACAAGUGCCAACUUACAGAUGAUUACGCAUUUUGAAUUCUAAUGAACUGUUUUAACCUUCAGGAAGAAUUGUAAAGACCUGUACAUAGCACAACAUGAUCCGGAUAAUAUAUAUACUGUUCAUGUACAUCCACAAAUACAUCUUGUACCAAAUAAUGCUUUCUUGUAGUAGAAUAAGAAUCGUGUAAAUUCUAAAAGAUUUUAGCAGGGUUUCUUUACCUAUUCAUUGUUUCUUAUCAGUUUUAAAAGACUCCUUUAAAGCAUGUCAGAUGAAAAGCAAUUAGGAUUAAAAGUUUCCAUUUAAUUUCCUUUAAACCAUUGAGAUUUCAUUAAAAUCUUUUCACUUACUAAACUUUUGUAUCUUCUUUGUUUUGACACACUCCCCUUUGCUUUUCUCUCUUCUAUCUGCCAGAAUGUUUUCCAAUCAUUUAGUUCAAAUAUUGAAAUACUUAAUAAGCAACUACUUGAUUUUUAAUGAUGACCUCAGUGUGGUCAUCACUAGGUGCUUUGUCCUUUUUGUAUUCUAGCGCAACCUGUGUCUUGGAUUGGAUGUAGCAAUAAUAUUUUUUGGCUAAUAAGAGCUCUUGAACUCAGUGAUUACUUCCAAGAACUUAAAACGCUGAUCCUGAAUUCAGGUUAUUGAAAAAUUUCCCAAACAGUGCAAGAUUCUAUCUGAUUUGUUUCAUUUUUUUGCCCGAUUUUGCAGUUACCUACUGUUAAGGUUGGAUGCUAAAGCAUGCACAGAUACAGGCUUUUUAUUUCUGGGUUUGCUAUUAAAAGUGCUGUUUAUCCUCAUAUCCUUUUCCUUUGUCCUUUAUAUUUCUUUGCCUUUAUUCCUUCUACUGCAGAUUUUUCUCACCUAUUGUACAAAGAGAUUGCGAUGUAUAUUUUCAUGUAAUUUGAUUUUGGAAUUCUGUCACCUUAUGUAGUGAGUUCUUCCAAAAUACAAUUUUUUUUCCAAUAAUUGUCAAGUUGUUGGCUUUUAUUGUAUCAAAUGAAGGUUAUGUUAUUGAAUGCUAGAGAAGUGCAGUUGAGAAAAAUCUCAGGUUGAUUCCUUAUGCAAACUUAAUACUUGAAAAAUCACAUGGCCAUGGCAGUGUAUGAUAGAUUUUUUUCAAUGACUUUCAAAGGAAUUACAGAGGUAUAAUAAAUGUCUUGCUAUUUGACAUACAGAUUCUGAUGCUAAUGUAGUAGGUAUAUUUGAACGUAAGUAUAUUUCAUAUCAUGCAGUUUUAUGAAACAACUUCAAAAUAUGGUGAAAUGAGCAUGUGCAGAGUUAAGUCAGAUCCAGGUUCUGUUUGGUGUGAGGCUGAAAUUAGGAUGUAAUCUAUGAUACAUGAGGGAUAGAAGCCAUAGACAGUACUAGAUGGGACAUGAUGUUUAAUUAUGAGAAUUGGUACAUCUCUGCCCUGUGGGAGUUGGAGAAAUGCUUUGGCAGAAGAAUUCUGCCAUAACCCAGUCCUCUACAAAUAAUUGCAUGUUCUUUUUUUUUUUUUGCUUUUUUUGGGUCACACCUGGCGAUGCACAGGGGUCACUCCUGGCUCUGUACUCAGGAAUUACCCCUGGCUGUGCUCAGGGGACCAUAUGGGAUGCUGGGAUUUGAACCCGGGUCAGCUGCGUGCAAGGCAAACGCCCUACCCGCUGUGCUAUCUCUCCAGCCCCCAGCAUGUUCUUUUUUUUAAUCAAAAGUAAAAUGCUUGAAGAUGUAGUAAUGGUAGAUUGGUUUUUGUAAAUGCCAGUUUGUUCUGUAGUGUAAAGUAUUACAAAAAGCCAUAACUGUGUGAUGACUCAUGAAAAUGUUUUGUUUUAAUUGAAGCCCAAUUUUCUUCAAGAACUUUAAAACUUUUUUCCUGAUACUAAAAUUUUUGCAUCAAAAUGCCAGUCCUGCACUCUUACCUGGAACUUUGAAUACAAUCCCUUUUACAUAAGAAAUUGUUCAUACAGUGGUUACUUGUGGCAAACUGGAGUCAGAAUUUGGCUCUCCUUAUGACAUAACUCUGCUGUGCAAACUGUUAAUUAAAUCCUGGGAUUUGACUUUUCAGGGAAUAGCAAAGGACCUUGUAGCUCAGGGUCAACUGUUUGAACUCUUAAGUGCCACUUUUAUGCAGUUAUUUUGGGAUAACUAUGGGUUAUUUCUUAGAGCUAGAUCUACAAGAAAGGAGAAGAGUGAGUAUACUUAUUUUCACACUUUUUUUCCACCUAGUGCCCUGAUGUGCUACAGAAUCACCCGCCUAGGUAGUGAACUUCUUUUUCUGUCAGAGGUAUCAUCUGUGCCUUUAAAUGUUCAUCUGACAGUUUCAGUGCCUUUACAUUUAAGAUAAAACCCACAUUCAGGUGACACCAAUCCAGGUGGCUUUUAUCUGACCAGUGCUUCAUUAGAGUGAGGCAAGUCCUCUGCUUUAGGAAAAUAUCCCUCCAACCCCAUCCCCCCCAAGCUUGUGCCAAUUAUGAACUUAGGAAUUGUGGAAGUGUUGACUGUUUCCUAAAUUGAUUCCAAGUUCUUGUAAAGACUUAGAGAUUUCAAUUUGCCCAUAAGAAGGUGCAAAAUCUCAAAAAUCUCAGUGGCUUUUUUUGGGGGGGUCACACCCAGUGAUGCUCAGGGGUUACUCCUGGCUCUGCACUCAGGAAUUACUCCUAGCAGUGCUCAGGGGACCACAUAGGAUGCUGGAAUCGAGCCCAGGUUGGCUGCAUCAAGGCAAACGCCUUACCUGCUGUGCUAUGGUUAUGGCCCUUCUCAGUGGCUUUCUGGCCUCUUUGUGAUUUUAAAAUCCAUAUGAAGUUGGUUUCCUUGUCAUUAUAUCUUUGUGAUAUUAUUUCACUAAUCACUUGGGUGUUACAGUAUCUUUAAUGGCCUUCAUUCUCAGUUGUGAAUAUUAUUUUAUAUGCUCAUUCAUCCUCUACAAAUCUGCCCAUUUGGGAUUCUGGUGCCUGUGUAUCUUUGCCUGUCUGGUCUCCAGUUGGUGGAAUUACCUUUUUGUACUGCCACUUCUCAGCAUCUUUGAAAUUUGACAUAUUGUUGCUUCAUUCCAGUUUUUUUUUUUUAGUUCUGUAAUUUGUUGAUUGUAUUUAACUAUGUUGAGUUUUGUUGUGAUGUUUACUGUAUUGUAAAGCACCUUGAUCAUGUGGUGGGUGCUCUAUAAAUCAAUAAAUGAUGACUUAGAGGCUG